AAUAUUGCGCAAGGGAGGAAACUCUGACGCAGCGACGCCGCGUGAGCGAUGAAGGUCUUCGGAUCGUAAAGCUCUGUCUAUGGGGACAAAGACCGAAAGAUUUGACGGUACACGAGGAGGAAGCCCCGGCUAACGACGUGCAAGAAGCCGCGGUAAUACGUAGGGGGCAAGCGUUGUCCGGAAUUAUUGGGCGUAAAGGGUGCGUAGGCGGCUUUUUAAGUCAGAUGUGAAAGACCACGGCUUAACCGUGGGGUUGCAUUUGAAACUGGAAGGCUUGAGUAUCGGAGAGGGUAGUGGAAUUCCCAGUGUAGCGGUGAAAUGCGUAGAUAUUGGGAGGAACACCAGUGGCGAAGGCGACUACCUGGACGAAAACUGACGUUGAUGCACGAAAGCUAGGGGAGCAAACA
RNAcentral lists this ribosomal RNA (407 nucleotides) under uncultured bacterium. Its description in RNAcentral is "partial 16S ribosomal RNA". It matches the Rfam family "Bacterial small subunit ribosomal RNA", at positions 360 to 774 of the family's 1533-position model. The record is from RNAcentral.